Molecule: ribosomal RNA, 292 nt
Filed under: uncultured bacterium
Lineage: Bacteria
Description: partial 16S ribosomal RNA
Rfam family: Bacterial small subunit ribosomal RNA
Source: RNAcentral
GUGCCAGCAGCCGCGGUAAUACAGGGGGGGCAAGCGUUGUUCGGAAUUACUGGGCGUAAAGGGCUCGUAGGCGGCCAACUAAGUCCGACGUGAAAUCCCAAAGCUUAACUUUGGAACUGCGUCGGAUACUGGAUGGCUUGAAUUCGGGAGAGGGAUGCAGAAUUCCAGGUGUAGCGGUGAAAUGCGUAGAUAUCUGGAGGAAUACCGGUGGCGAAGGCGGCAUCCUGGACCGACAUUGACGCUGAGGAGCGAAAGCUAGGGGAGCAAACGGGAUUAGAUACCCGUGUAGUCC